Molecule: small nuclear RNA, 120 nt
Organism: Dipodomys spectabilis (banner-tailed kangaroo rat)
Lineage: Eukaryota; Metazoa; Chordata; Mammalia; Rodentia; Heteromyidae
Source: RefSeq, a predicted model, not a curated record
GUGUCAUAUGAAAGGAGUUAGCACUCCCCUGGACAAAGAUGGAAGAGGUCCUUGAGAAUGACAAUAUGCAUAUGGUUAAGGCAUUGCCACCUACUUUAUGGCAUCUAACCGUUGCUUUCC